GACGAACGCUGGCGGCGUGCUUAACACAUGCAAGUCGAACGGAAAGGCCCUGCUUUUGUGGGGUGCUCGAGUGGCGAACGGGCGAGUAACACGUGAGUAACCUGCCCUUGACUUUGGGAUAACUUCAGGAAACUGGGGCGAAUAUCGGAUAGGAGCUCCUGCUGCACGGUGGGGGUUGGAAAGUUUCGGCGGUUGGGGAUGGACUCGCGGCUUAUCAGCUUGUUGGUGGGGUAGUGGCUUACCAAGGCUUUGACGGGUAGCCGGCCUGAGAGGGUGACCGGCCACAUUGGGCCUGAGGUACGGCCCAGACUCCUACGGGAGGCAGCAGUGGGGAAUAUUGCACAAUGGGCGGAAGCCUGAUGCAGCAACGCCGCGUGCGGGAUGACGGCCUUCGGGUUGUAAACCGCUUUCGCCUGUGACGAAGCGUGAGUGACGGUAAUGGGUAAAGAAGCACCGGCUAACUACGUG
This 468-nucleotide ribosomal RNA is filed under the name uncultured bacterium. RNAcentral describes it as "partial 16S ribosomal RNA". It matches the Rfam family "Bacterial small subunit ribosomal RNA", at positions 28 to 507 of the family's 1533-position model. The record is from RNAcentral.